CCUGCCCCUGGAGGCGCUGCAGGUGUGGCUGCUGUGUCACAUGUGUGUCAGUAGGUACAGAGAGGACAGAGGCCAUGUCUACGCUCUGUAUUCUGACCCAUGAACAUCUGAAUGAUCAGGAGCCUAGCAUU
Acomys russatus (golden spiny mouse) is the source of this 131-nucleotide small nucleolar RNA. RefSeq annotates it as small nucleolar RNA SNORA17. The transcript has a single exon. The record is from RefSeq and is a predicted model, not a curated record. Lineage: Eukaryota; Metazoa; Chordata; Mammalia; Rodentia; Muridae.